AGAGUUUAAUCAUGGCUCAGGACGAACGCUGGCGGCGCGCCUAACACAUGCAAGUCGAACGAGCGAGAGAGAGCUUGCUUUCUCGAGCGAGUGGCGAACGGGUGAGUAACGCGUGAGGAACCUGCCUCAAAGAGGGGGACAACAGUUGGAAACGACUGCUAAUACCGCAUAAGCCCACGGGUCGGCAUCGACCAGAGGGAAAAGGAGCAAUCCGCUUUGAGAUGGCCUCGCGUCCGAUUAGCUGG
RNAcentral lists this ribosomal RNA (245 nucleotides) under uncultured bacterium. Its description in RNAcentral is "partial 16S ribosomal RNA". It matches the Rfam family "Bacterial small subunit ribosomal RNA", at positions 8 to 248 of the family's 1533-position model. The record is from RNAcentral.